AACCACAGCCAUAUCACCCUGCUGCACAAGACCGUUUACUCAUUGAAGCUAAGCAUGGCUGAGCCUGUUCAGUACCAGGAUGGGAGACCACAUAGGAAAACUAGGUUGCUGUUAGAA
Danio rerio (zebrafish) is the source of this 117-nucleotide non-coding RNA. The record is from Rfam. Lineage: Eukaryota; Metazoa; Chordata; Actinopteri; Cypriniformes; Danionidae.